This 1667-nucleotide long non-coding RNA is filed under the name Fragaria vesca (wild strawberry). RNAcentral describes it as "long non-coding RNA (FVES_LNC001805)". The record is from RNAcentral. Lineage: Eukaryota; Viridiplantae; Streptophyta; Magnoliopsida; Rosales; Rosaceae.
CAUGAGCCGUUCACGAUCAAGCUCAUUUAUUUUUAAAACAAAAAUCAUUUUCCUUUAAGGACAAUUUCACAACUAACAAUAAUAAAAUUAUAAAACUUGAGAAAAGAAAAUCCGACCGUCAGAUCUGACCAUCAUGACAAAAUACAUGUAUGGGAAAAAAUUCAACUUGAUCCCACAAGGUUAAGGGCUCGAUCCGGACGGUCAAUACCGUAAGUCAAACCCCUAAACACACGGAAACUGUCAUUAGACCUUCUAAAUUACGUAUUUUCGCCGGACCUUCAACUGAAAAUAGUUUCAAAUCGAUGAGACGCAAUGAAUCGUAUAAAAAUUUUACGGAAAAUAAGCAUCGAAGAUAGGGCUACCCAUAAGGAGAAAGAAUGGAAAAUUGCAUUGACCGCAACUAUCGGCACCGAGACUUUACUGGAAUACCGUGAUUUUUCAAUUGUAGACGUAUUUCACCAUUCUGGUGAUAUCUUAUUUCACGACUUUUUUGCGUUUGAAGGCUCUAUGUAUAGUUUUUUUUGAAACGGAACAUUUACUUGAUAAACAAGUUAUACAACAUUAGUAGACAUUUUGUGAUUGUGAUGAUCAAACUUGAGAAAAGAAAAUCUGACCGUCAGAUCAGACCAUCAUGACAAAAUACAUGUAUGGGAAAAAAUUCAACUUGAUCCCACAAGGUUAAGGGCUCGAUCCGGACGGUCAAUCCUGAAGUCAAACCCCUAAACAAACGGAAACGGUCAUUGGACCUUCUAAAUUACGUAUUUUCGCCGGACCUUCAACUGAAAAUAGUUUCAAAUCGAUGAGACGCAAGGAGUCGUAUAAAAAUUUUAUGGAAAAUAACCACAAAAGAUAGGACUACCCAUAAGGUGAAAGAAUUUGAAUAAAAUUCGUCUCCUGAUAUUCCUAAGGCGACGGAAAGUCCACUUCCCGUCGCUUAGGAUACACAAAAUAUAAAAUUUUAUGAUACUUAGGCGACGGAAAUUGUAUAUGUCGUCGGCUUUGUAAACCAAUGUGACGGAAAAUAUAUUUUUUGUCGUCUAGGAUCCCAAAAUAUUAGGCGGGUGAAUUUUGCGCCCCUUUUUUUCCCCUGAAAUUUCGUAUUACUUAGGACACGAAUAAAUGUCUUAGGCGAUGAAACCUAAUUUAAAACCUAUACUAACUCCCUCGCGCAAUCCACAAUCCCUAAUUAAAUUCACACCCACAAUUCCCAAUUCCCACCAGAGUCGCGCCACCAGACCCCAUCCACGCAUCGGCCACCGAUUAAAGUGUGCGCAUCCACCUACCUCCUCCACUCAUCGCCACCGCAUCCACCCGCCACUCCGAUCUCUCUGCUCUCACCUUCUCACCACAGCUACGAUCUCUCUGCUCUCACCUUCUCACCGCCGCUCCUUUUACAGGUCCGUAUUCUCUCUCUUUUCAGAUUGAUCUUGCUUGUUACUUCUGAAUCGUAAACGAAUUCGUUGAUCGUGUUUACAUUAUUAUUAUUAUUAUUUUUUAAUUAUCUAGCAAAAAAAAACCAAUAUCACAUUGUAUCUUCUGCUUAAGUGGCUCACAGCUUUUGUUAGUGUUUUCUGUAUCACCAAUGCAUGAAGUCUAAAAAAAAUAAAAAAGUGAAGAAAUACAAGUGGUUUGAUCAACCUGUAUGCUUUUCUAUGGACAAUUUUUCA